AGUGAACGCUGGCGGUAGGCCUAACACAUGCAAGUCGAACGGCAGCACAGUAAGAGCUUGCUCUUACGGGUGGCGAGUGGCGGACGGGUGAGGAAUACAUCGGAAUCUACUUUUUCGUGGGGGAUAACGUAGGGAAACUUACGCUAAUACCGCAUACGACCUACGGGUGAAAGCAGGGGAUCUUCGGACCUUGCGCGGUUGAAUGAGCCGAUGUCGGAUUAGCUAGUUGGCGGGGUAAAGGCCCACCAAGGCGACGAUCCGUAGCUGGUCUGAGAGGAUGAUCAGCCACACUGGAACUGAGACACGGUCCAGACUCCUACGGGAGGCAGCAGUGGGGAAUAUUGGACGAUGGGCGCAAGCCUGAUCCAGCCAUACCGCGUGGGUGAAGAAGGCCUUCGGGUUGGAAAGCCCUUUUGUUGGGAAAGAAAAGCAGCAGGUUAAUACCCCGCUGUUCUGACGGUACCCAAAGAAUAAGCACCGGCUAACUUCGUG
Molecule: ribosomal RNA, 492 nt
Filed under: uncultured bacterium
Lineage: Bacteria
Description: partial 16S ribosomal RNA
Rfam family: Bacterial small subunit ribosomal RNA
Source: RNAcentral